Molecule: ribosomal RNA, 465 nt
Filed under: uncultured bacterium
Lineage: Bacteria
Description: partial 16S ribosomal RNA
Rfam family: Bacterial small subunit ribosomal RNA
Source: RNAcentral
CCUACGGGUGGCAGCAGUGGGGAAUAUUGCGCAAUGGGCGAAAGCCUGACGCAGCGACGCCGCGUGAGGGAUGAAGGUCUUCGGAUCGUAAACCUCUGUCAGCAGGGAAGAACGGUCACUGUGCUAAUCAGCAGUGAAUUGACGGUACCUGCAAAGGAAGCACCGGCUAAAUCCGUGCCAGCAGCCGCGGUAAUACGGAGGGUGCGAGCGUUAAUCGGAAUUACUGGGCGGAAAGCGCUCGUAAGCGGUAUGUCAAGUCAAGGGUGAAAUCCCCGCGCUCAACGUGGGAACUGCCGUUGAAACUGGCAAACUGGGGUGUUUGAGAGGAUAGUGGAAUUCCAGGUGUAGGAGUGAAAUCCGUAGAUAUCUGGAGGAACAUCAGUGGCGAAGGCGACUAUCUGGCACAUAACUGACGCUGAGGAGCGAAAGCGUGGGUAGCAAACAGGAUUAGAUACCCCAGUAGUC